GCGGCCUUGGUGGAGAGGACCACCUUGCCCGGACCCAGGUCGCCGGAGGCCGGGGCGAUCUUCGCGCCCGGUUCGACGCCGAAGGCGGCG
RNAcentral lists this transfer RNA (90 nucleotides) under Streptomyces finlayi. Its description in RNAcentral is "tRNA-Gly". Lineage: Bacteria; Bacillati; Actinomycetota; Actinomycetes; Kitasatosporales; Streptomycetaceae. The record is from RNAcentral. RNAcentral also lists the same sequence under 1 other name.